Molecule: ribosomal RNA, 253 nt
Filed under: uncultured bacterium
Lineage: Bacteria
Description: partial 16S ribosomal RNA
Rfam family: Bacterial small subunit ribosomal RNA
Source: RNAcentral
UACAGAGGGUGCAAGCGUUGUUCGGAAUUACUGGGCGUAAAGCGCGUGUAGGCGGUCUGUAAAGUCAGGUGUGAAAGCCCCGGGCUCAACCCGGGAAGUGCACUUGAAACUCACAGGCUAGAGUAUCGGAGAGGUUGGUGGAAUUCUCGGUGUAGAGGUGAAAUUCGUAGAUAUCGAGAGGAACACCGGUGGCGAAGGCGGCCAACUGGACGAAUACUGACGCUGAGACUCGAAAGCGUGGGGAGCAAACAGG